GGCUGGUUGGGUGGUAGUGGGUUAUCAGAACUUAUUAACAUUAGUGUCACUAAAGUUGGUCUAUAACCACCCCCCACUGCUAAAUUUGACUGGCUUUGA
RNAcentral lists this Y RNA (99 nucleotides) under Propithecus coquereli (Coquerel's sifaka). RNAcentral describes it as "Y RNA (ENSPCOG00000012148.1)". It matches the Rfam family "Y RNA". From Rfam's summary of the family: Y RNAs are components of the Ro ribonucleoprotein particle (Ro RNP), in association with Ro60 and La proteins. The Y RNAs and Ro60 and La proteins are well conserved, but the function of the Ro RNP is not known. Lineage: Eukaryota; Metazoa; Chordata; Mammalia; Primates; Indriidae. The record is from Rfam by way of RNAcentral.